This 497-nucleotide ribosomal RNA is filed under the name uncultured bacterium. RNAcentral describes it as "partial 16S ribosomal RNA". It matches the Rfam family "Bacterial small subunit ribosomal RNA", at positions 28 to 507 of the family's 1533-position model. The record is from RNAcentral.
GAUGAACGCUGGCGGCGUGCCUAAUACAUGCAAGUCGAGCGAACGGACGAGAAGCUUGCUUCUCUGAUGUUAGCGGCGGACGGGUGAGUAACACGUGGAUAACCUACCUAUAAGACUGGGAUAACUUCGGGAAACCGUAGCUAAUACCGGAUAAUAUUUUGAACCGCAUGGUUCAAAAGUGAAAGACGGUCUUGCUGUCACUUGUAGAUGGAUCCGCGCUGCAUUAGCUAGUUGGUAAGGUAACGGCUUACCAAGGCAACGAUGCAUAGCCGACCUGAGAGGGUGAUCGGCCACACUGGAACUGAGACACGGUCCAGACUCCUACGGGAGGCAGCAGUAGGGAAUCUUCCGCAAUGGGCGAAAGCCUGACGGAGCAACGCCGCGUGAGUGAUGAAGGUCUUCGGAUCGUAAAACUCUGUUAUUAGGGAAGAACAUAUGUGUAAGUAACUGUGCACAUCUUGACGGUACCUAAUCAGGAAGCCACGGCUAACUACGUG